Etheostoma cragini (Arkansas darter) is the source of this 372-nucleotide long non-coding RNA. RefSeq lists it as uncharacterized. NCBI's taxonomy places the organism in Eukaryota, Metazoa, Chordata, Actinopteri, Perciformes, Percidae. The transcript has 2 exons. The record is from RefSeq and is a predicted model, not a curated record.
CAAUUCUAUCAGUUGAUAUCAGUUCGUUGAAAGGUGGUAUUUUAUGGCAAUGUUGCAUUCGAUUUGUAUAGUUACUAUAAGUGCCACCGUGCAUCAUGCCAACUGCUGUAAUUAUAAUGAACCCUAUUCUGGGAAGUCUGUACCAGUGUCUCUUUGUUGCAGCGGCAGAUGGCCGCUCACCUAGAGGCAGGGUCUCUCCGAGGUCUGCCUGUGAAAAGUUUUUUUCUCGCCGCUGUCAAACUAAAUGCUUGCUCGUGGGAAGUUGUUGGUUCUUUGUAAAUUAGAGAAUGGGUCUAGACCGACUCUAUCUGCAAAGUGUCCUGAUAUAACUCUUGUUGUGAUUUGACAUUGUAAAUAAAAUUUAAUUGAGAU